GAUCAUGGCUCAGAUUGAACGCUGGCGGCAGGCUUAACACAUGCAAGUCGAACGGUAACAUAAAGAAGCUUGCUUCUUUGAUGACGAGUGGCGGACUGGUGAGUAAUGCUUGGGAAUCUGGCUUAUGGGAGGGGGAUAACUACGGGAAACUGUAGCUAAUACCGCGUAGAAUCGAGAGAUGAAAGUGUGGGACCUCGGCCGACCACUGCCACUAGGAGUGAGCCAACGUAGGGAGUUAAGG
Molecule: ribosomal RNA, 241 nt
Filed under: uncultured bacterium
Lineage: Bacteria
Description: partial 16S ribosomal RNA
Rfam family: Bacterial small subunit ribosomal RNA
Source: RNAcentral